RNAcentral lists this long non-coding RNA (448 nucleotides) under Physcomitrium patens. RNAcentral describes it as "long non-coding RNA (PPAT_LNC007630)". The record is from RNAcentral. Lineage: Eukaryota; Viridiplantae; Streptophyta; Bryopsida; Funariales; Funariaceae.
GCAAGUGCUAAGGCAUCAAUAUCAGAGCAUACUGUAGCCAAGUGAAGUUGCUUUGAAAGUUGGUCUACAAAGACAGUAACAAUAAUAAGAUUGAAAAGUGUUUGCAACAAACAUGUAAUGAGAUCCAUAAUCACUUACUCCCAAUGUGCUAUAGGUAAUGGAUUUGGCUAUAAUAGCCUAAGAGAUGCUGCAUUGCAUUGUUGUAAUAUGUGAAGUUUGACUUGAGAAUGCAUUGAUGUCGUAUGGCAUGAUUUAUAAUCUGGGAAUACACUAGGUAUCUAGCUAUAGAAAGUGUAGCUUAUAUCUUUAUAUGAAUCUUGUCUUAGCUUCCAAAACUCCUUUAUUUUGCAUAAAACUCAAAAUAUAACAAAAUCCCUUCAAAACAUAUUUUUUCUGCAAAGGGUAUUCUUGUCCUAAACUUUAGAAAUUCAUUUCUCUUGAUCUAACC